AUUGAACGCUGGCGGCAGGCCUAACACAUGCAAGUCGAACGAGUGGCGGACGGGUGAGUAAUGUCUGGGAAACUGCCUGAUGGAGGGGGAUAACGACUGGAAACGGUAGCUAAUACCGCAUACCAUCGGAUGUGCCCAGAUGGGAUUAGCUAGUAGGUGGGGUAAAGGCUCACCGAGGCGACGAUCCCUAGCUGGCCUGAGAGGAUGACCGGCCACACUGGAACUGAGACACGGUCCAGACUCCUACGGGAGGCAGCAGUGGGGAAUCUUGCGCAAUGGGCGCAAGCCUGAUGCAGCAAUGCCGCGUGUAUGAAGAAGGCCUUCGGGUUGUAAAGUACUUUCAGCGGGGAGGCGUUACCCGAAGAAGAAGCAACGGCUAACUACGUGCCAGCAGCCGCGGUAAUAC
RNAcentral lists this ribosomal RNA (406 nucleotides) under uncultured bacterium. RNAcentral's name for it is "partial 16S ribosomal RNA". It matches the Rfam family "Bacterial small subunit ribosomal RNA", at positions 29 to 526 of the family's 1533-position model. The record is from RNAcentral.